This 645-nucleotide long non-coding RNA is filed under the name Salmo salar (Atlantic salmon). RNAcentral's name for it is "lncRNA (ENSSSAG00000118521.1)". The record is from RNAcentral. Lineage: Eukaryota; Metazoa; Chordata; Actinopteri; Salmoniformes; Salmonidae.
GUGUAGGCCUCGGGGUGUCUUCCACCAGACUGCUGGUCUGUGGGACUGCUCUGGUUCAGUUCCCCCAGUGAUAGUGACACAGGCAUGGAGAGUCCAGCUUGUGUUUCCCUGUAGCUGGGUCUGGUGUUACUGGGCCUGGGUAGAGGUGGAGGAUAGGAUUGUUACUGGGCCUGGGUAGAGGUGGAGGAUAGGAUUGUUACUGGGCCUGGGUAGAGGUGGAGGAUAGGAUUGUUACUGGGCCUGGGUAGAGGUGGAGGAUAGGAUUGUAGCUGGGUCUGGGUAGAGGUGGAGGAUAGGAUUGUUACUGGGCCUGGGUAGAGGUGGAGGAUAGGAUUGUAACUGGGUCUGGUGUUACUGGGCCUGGGUAGAGGUGGAAGAUAGGAUUGUAGCUGGGUCUGGUGUUACUGGGCCUGGGUAGAGGUGGAAGAUAGGAUUGUAGCUGGUUCUGGUGUUACUGGGCCUGGGUAGAGGUGGAGGAUAGGAUUGUAACUGGGUCUGGUGUUACUGGGCCUGGGUAGAGGUGGAGGAUAGGAUUGUAACUGGGUCUGGUGUUACUGGGCCUGGGUAGAGGUGGAGGAUAGGAUUGUAGCUGGGUCUGGUGUUACUGGGCCUGGGUAGAGGUGGAGGAUAGGAUGGUAAACAGAG